RNAcentral lists this unclassified non-coding RNA (161 nucleotides) under soil metagenome. RNAcentral describes it as "partial internal transcribed spacer 1". The record is from RNAcentral.
AAGAGACGUUGCCCUUCGGGGUAUACCUCCCACCCUUUGUUUAUUAUACCUUUGUUGCUUUGGCGGGCCCGUCCUCGGACCACCGGCUUCUGCUGGUCAGUGCCCGCCAGAGGACCUAAAACUCGGUUUGUUAAUAUUGUCUGAGUACUAUAUAAUAGUUA